This 1001-nucleotide long non-coding RNA is filed under the name Equus caballus (horse). Its description in RNAcentral is "lncRNA (ENSECAG00000048340.1)". The record is from RNAcentral. Lineage: Eukaryota; Metazoa; Chordata; Mammalia; Perissodactyla; Equidae.
CUUGCCAGACGCAGGGCAUGGCCCUGGGGGGAGGCUGCGGCAUUUGCUGGAGGAUGCAGGGGCCAGAGCCAGGGAGACAGAAGUGCCUGCUGCCUCCUUCUCAGGCCAUGGUGCAGCCCCACUUCCCACCCCACAGCGUGGAAGGUCCACUCGGGGGCCGACACCCCAAUUCCCUGCACAGGGUCCAGGACGGUGGAGACGCAGACGAUGCGCAGGUAACUUCAGUUCACCCACAGACGGGCUCCGGACACUGUGUGUGGAUCAAGUCGUUUCUGACAUGCAGGAGCCGAGCUUUCCUGCCACCCCCCUGGCGUGUCCCUGUGGAAAGCAGGACGCCCAGCUGCAGCGGACUGUUUUAAUUUCUGUGAAACUCAGGUUGAAGACGUCAUCUGCUGUGUUGCUGUUGGUUAUGUCCAUGACUUCCACAAUGAUUGACUGGGAGUGGUGAAAGAGAACAUCCUUGUCUUGCUCCUGACCUUAGGAGGAAAGCUUCCAGUUUCUUACCAUGAAGUAUGAUGUUUGCCGAAGUAUUUUUGUAGAUGCUCUUUAUCAAGUUGAAGAAGUUCCCUUCUAUUGCUAAUUUGCUGAGACUUUUUAUCAUGAAUGGGUGUUGGAUUUUUAUCAAAUACUUUUCUGCAUCUACUUUUCCUCUUUAUUGCCGGGAGCCAUGUUACCGACGCCUAUGCAGCCAUCUGACAGGGUCCAGGCUGAGAAGGGCCGAGGGGCGCAGGGACGCCCCUUGGUGAAGAAUGGCCGGCCGACACCCCUGAUAUUUUCUGAAUUAUAUGCAUGCUUUCUAUCAAGGUUAUGACUAUACUUGUUUCUGCUUUUUAUUCUUGAAGAUAUAUAGUUUAGCUUAGCUUUUCAGCUCUUUACCUUACUAACAAAAUGAUAUUUUCUCUGGGCAGUGUGCUCAAGGGACUGUUAGCCCUGCCUCCUAAAAGACAAAGGAAUGCUUUCACCCCCUAAGGGGUGCGGGAAUGUAAAGAUGUUUAACUGCC